Molecule: unclassified non-coding RNA, 221 nt
Filed under: Hevea brasiliensis (rubber tree)
Lineage: Eukaryota; Viridiplantae; Streptophyta; Magnoliopsida; Malpighiales; Euphorbiaceae
Source: RNAcentral
AUUCAAUAUCAUGCCACAAGCUCAUUGGUAGCAGUAGAAAGGUAAUUGAUGCUAGAACCAGGGCAAAUAGGCUUCUUGCAAGGCCUGAUGACGAAUCUAUACUAUUGGGUUCCCCCAGUUCAUCUAACAAUUAACAUUUUCCUUUAAAAUCAUUAGUUUUCUUUGCUACUAAACAAUUUGUUUUCUGUAAACUGAAAUUUUUAAUCAAGUAAUUAACUAAG